This is a long non-coding RNA of Molossus molossus (Pallas's mastiff bat), 335 nucleotides long. RefSeq lists it as uncharacterized. The transcript has 3 exons. The record is from RefSeq and is a predicted model, not a curated record. NCBI's taxonomy places the organism in Eukaryota, Metazoa, Chordata, Mammalia, Chiroptera, Molossidae.
CUGGGAAUCGCAUCUUCCUUGCUCUGCCCUCACCUGUCCAGCUGUGAUCCGUACUGGUGGUGGGUGUUCAGGACGGACUCAGGGAACCAGGAAACCUAGAAAUGCCGCCUGUAUCCACAUGUGGGAUGUUGCAGGACUCCGUGGCCUUGGAGGAUAUUAAUGUGGAGUUCACCAUGGAGGAGUGGGCUUUCCUGGAUCCGACCCAGAAGAAACUCUACAGAGAGGUGAUGCAGGAAACCUUCUGGAACCUGGCAUCAAUAGCAUGUAUUUUAGAAGACAAAUGGGAAGACCAUGACAGUGAAGAUCAGUAUGAAAACCAUGGGAUGAAUCUUAGG